GCCGCCUUAGCUCAGUCGGCUAGAGCGACGCACUCGUAAUGCGUAGGUCCCGAGUUCGAUUCUCGGAGGCGGCCCCA
This 77-nucleotide transfer RNA is filed under the name Actinomycetes bacterium. RNAcentral's name for it is "tRNA-Thr". It matches the Rfam family "tRNA". Rfam says of the family: Transfer RNA (tRNA) molecules are approximately 80 nucleotides in length. Their secondary structure includes four short double-helical elements and three loops (D, anti-codon, and T loops). The record is from RNAcentral. Lineage: Bacteria; Bacillati; Actinomycetota; Actinomycetes. RNAcentral also lists the same sequence under 3 other names.